Long non-coding RNA from Aegilops tauschii subsp. strangulata, 1985 nucleotides. RefSeq lists it as uncharacterized. NCBI's taxonomy places the organism in Eukaryota, Viridiplantae, Streptophyta, Magnoliopsida, Poales, Poaceae. The record is from RefSeq and is a predicted model, not a curated record.
CAUUGAGAAACAGUAUAACGGGGCUAGCUACGAGCCUCCACAGCGAUCUCACUGUCACAGCCGUCGGAUCAUCAAACAUACGGUGUAGAUCAAAGUCGAGCGUCCCUACUCGCCCGCGCACAUCGCACGCCGUCUCGCGGGCCGCUGCUCCGCGGAAUGACCUCCUCUUCCUUUAGUAAUCGGGCCGUCAAGGCCCACUUAUUCCCAGUCGGACGCUAACAGCCUAGGUCACCCUCGAACGAACAGCUUCUCCGUGUCGCUGUCCUUCCUCCUCACGAUGCGCUGGCAUUCCUCCCUCCUCGAUGCACCGUCGAUCCGCCGUGUUCGUGUAUUUAUUUACUUAAUGGUGGCUGCGGCGGCCGCCCCGCCGUGGGCUUUCACCGCCGGCUGUCGCUGGAGGCAAACUACCUAGAUGGUUUCGCGGUGGCGAUGGAGGCGCUAGAUACCUGCUUUCUCGUGUGCCUUCUUGUCGCCUCUGCUCUUCCAAUGAUGCGGAUCCAGGAACAGAGUCCAACCCUCUCCCCUUCUAAUUCUUCCUUCGUGUUCUGCACUUCUUCUGCUUGCUCUUUGACAAACAUCAAAUUAUGUUUUUAUGUCUCAAUGUGUUCGGUUUCAAUUCCCAUGUGAGAAGAUCCUUCUGAGGAAGGCCAGGAAUUGGUACUGAAAUUCUGAAUAUGCAUAGGUACAAAGAACCUUGAAUCUGUCCAGGUGAGCAUGACAUUGAUUCCAGUUCUUGUGAUAUUUGUGUCUAACUUAAUUCAUCUUGGCACCGGUUCAAAAUAAAUAAAUUCAUCUUGGCAUGAUUAUUAUGUGGUUCAAGUGCUAAUCAAGUGAGCUGAGCAUUUAGUUUCUUCGUUGUGCCAUGCUAUUAGGAAUAACAUGUUAUUUUAUCCACCGGUCUCUGAUAAAUGAGAAGUUCAUUCUUUGUUUACACUUGUGACUAAAACACAUUUGGUUUCCUAUUGUAAUUUCUUUUUUCAGAUUUUGGUGUGUUAUUCUUGAAUAUAUUAUGCGCACGAAUUAUUUCUGGAAAUAUUUCCCCCUUUCUCUAGAGUCCAUAUUCACUAUUAAUUUCUGAAAGUCAAUUUUCAUGUUGUUGAGCCCACAAUGCUCCUAAAAGUAUUACAUGCACGUGGAGCGCAGGGUGAGUGCUCAUGUUAGCAAUCUUGUGUUCCUUUUUCAAGAUUUAGGAUUUAGUUUGGUUAAGAAAGCUUGUCGUUGCACUGUAUUAACAUUGCUUGAUCUAUGGUUUUUAAGCUUUUGAGCCCUAGAUCCUCUCUUUGGCAAGUAUUGCAGGCAACCGGUGAAGCCGAAGCCAUUUAUGAAUGCAAGGCAGACAAACUAUUAAAUGCCAUGAAAUUGUAAAGGUAUCUUUCUAUUCCUAGAAUGAUUUGACAAGGCCCAUGUCGACGAUCUAUGCACCAUCACCUACGGCCAGGUUGUCUAAGAAAAACAGUCCAUUAGUUGUGAGAUCUCUUACUGCUAAAAUCAGUGGUCGGCGUGGCAUGAAUAAAAUCCGUAGCAUGACAUUUGGAUCUGACGUUUUUAUGUGUACCUGACACACCUUGAGGAUUAAAGCUGCACUUGAGUCAAUUCGAAUAUUGUAUAGUUGAUCUCUUUAUUGGGAGUUAGAUCCAAAAAAGCUAAGUUAUAUGUGAUAAAAUUCAACUUAUUGUCCGUCUAUAUCAUGGUUUGUAAUUUGUUACGGUGUCAGGGCACAGCUGAGACGCACCUGGCCUGUAGAGCUUAACACUUUGAACAGUUCUCUUGAAAAUAUCUCAAACAUAUAUUUGGACCCAUACAAAUUAUUCAAUUUUUCUCAAACACUGCUUGGAUUUUUCAAAAAUAGUCUUAAGUAUUUGUUGUCAAUAUGAGCGGGCGCGGCAAAGCGCGCCUUCAUGUUCUAGUAUAACACUAUAUCGUCAACGAAUGUUAAGCGUGCGGACCCUACAGGUUCGAGAACUAUGUAGACAUGAUCGAGACAC